This 74-nucleotide transfer RNA is filed under the name Streptococcus suis T15. RNAcentral's name for it is "tRNA-Val". It matches the Rfam family "tRNA". Rfam says of the family: Transfer RNA (tRNA) molecules are approximately 80 nucleotides in length. Their secondary structure includes four short double-helical elements and three loops (D, anti-codon, and T loops). Further hydrogen bonds mediate the characteristic L-shaped molecular structure. tRNAs have two regions of fundamental functional importance: the anti-codon, which is responsible for specific mRNA codon recognition, and the 3' end, to which the tRNAs corresponding amino acid is attached (by aminoacyl-tRNA synthetases). tRNAs cope with the degeneracy of the genetic code in two manners: having more than one tRNA (with a specific anti-codon) for a particular amino acid; and 'wobble' base-pairing, i.e. permitting non-standard base-pairing at the 3rd anti-codon position. The record is from RNAcentral. Lineage: Bacteria; Bacillati; Bacillota; Bacilli; Lactobacillales; Streptococcaceae.
UGGGAGUUUAGCUCAGCUGGGAGAGCAUCUGCCUUACAAGCAGAGGGUCAGCGGUUAGAGGGCGUUAACUCCCA